Molecule: ribosomal RNA, 492 nt
Filed under: uncultured bacterium
Lineage: Bacteria
Description: partial 16S ribosomal RNA
Rfam family: Bacterial small subunit ribosomal RNA
Source: RNAcentral
AGUGAACGCUGGCGGUAGGCCUAACACAUGCAAGUCGAACGGCAGCACAGUAAGAGCUUGCUCUUACGGGUGGCGAGUGGCGGACGGGUGAGGAAUACAUCGGAAUCUACUUUUUCGUGGGGGAUAACGUAGGGAAACUUACGCCAAUACCGCAUACGACCUACGGGUGAAAGCAGGGGAUCUUCGGACCUUGCGCGAUUGAAUGAGCCGAUGUCGGAUUAGCUAGUUGGCGGGGUAAAGGCCCACCAAGGCGACGAUCCGUAGCUGGUCUGAGAGGAUGAUCAGCCACACUGGAACUGAGACACGGUCCAGACUCCUACGGGAGGCAGCAGUGGGGAAUAUUGGACAAUGGGCGCAAGCCUGAUCCAGCCAUACCGCGUGGGUGAAGAAGGCCUUCGGGUUGUAAAGCCCUUUUGUUGGGAAAGAAAAGCAGCAGGUUAAUACCCCGCUGUUCUGACGGUACCCAAAGAACAAGCACCGGCUAACUUCGUG